Juglans microcarpa x Juglans regia is the source of this 64-nucleotide small nucleolar RNA. RefSeq annotates it as small nucleolar RNA snoR101. The record is from RefSeq and is a predicted model, not a curated record. NCBI's taxonomy places the organism in Eukaryota, Viridiplantae, Streptophyta, Magnoliopsida, Fagales, Juglandaceae. The transcript has a single exon.
GGUUUACACUUGAUCUCUGAACUUCAGGUAAGUUCAUAUGUUGACAAGUACAUGUGCCGAUGCU